RNAcentral lists this ribosomal RNA (402 nucleotides) under uncultured bacterium. Its description in RNAcentral is "bacterial SSU rRNA". It matches the Rfam family "Bacterial small subunit ribosomal RNA", at positions 355 to 774 of the family's 1533-position model. The record is from RNAcentral.
UCGGGAAUUUUGGGCAAUGGGCGAAAGCCUGACCCAGCAACGCCGCGUGAGGGAUGAAGUAUUUCGGUAUGUAAACCUCGAAAGAAUGGGAAGAAUAAAUGACGGUACCAUUUAUAAGCUCCGGCUAACUACGUGCCAGCAGCCGCGGUAAUACGUAGGGAGCAAGCGUUGUUCGGAUUUACUGGGCGUAAAGGGCGCGUAGGCGGCGCGGUAAGUCACUUGUGAAAUCUCUGAGCUUAACUCAGAACGGCCAAGUGAUACUGCUGUGCUAGAGUGCGGAAGAGGCAACCAGAAUUCUUGGUGUAGCGGUGAAAUGCGUAGAUAUCAAGAGGAACACCUGAGGCGAAGGCGGGUUGCUGGGCCGACACUGACGCUGAUGCGCGAAAGCCAGGGGAGCAAACG